This is an RNA transcript of Biomphalaria glabrata, 2769 nucleotides long. RefSeq lists it as uncharacterized. The transcript has 6 exons. The record is from RefSeq and is a predicted model, not a curated record. Lineage: Eukaryota; Metazoa; Mollusca; Gastropoda; Planorbidae.
GUGGUUGUAGUGUUCUAAAAAGAAAUUUUUGGGAAAUGGUGGGGUGAAUUCUGUUUUACAAAGCUAUUGAUUCGUACAUUGACAGUUGGAUACAGAUACCGCUAUAACAAAAAAUAAACAAAGCCAACAGUUGCAUUUUUAAUUCCUAAAUCUUUAUUGUGUUAGAGUUAAAUCACGAGAGAUGUUUGUUUACAGGAAAAGAAAUAUUAUGGCUGCUGUUUCAACUCUAUUUAUUUUUAUGUGUAUUAUCUACAUUAAAUAUUUAAAAAGCGGUAUCUCUAUUGUUGAGAAAAGUAUGAAUGAAAUCCAAAGAAUCGAACCCAAACCUUACGAAGUGACAAUAGUAACAUUGUAUGUUCCCCUGGGUAAGUUUCAGAAGGGGGGUGCGGGAGAUUUUUUCGACAAUGACAGAUAUAGAAAAUGGAUGCAGACGUUUAGUUGGUUAUCCAACAAACUCGUGGCCUUCCUGACUGAUGACGAUACAUACAGCUACUUCAAACAGAUUCGAUCCCAUCUUCCUCCGGAAAGAACUGUGCUGAUCAGAGUCAACCAAUCUGAUCUUGUCUCUUUCAAAGACUACGACAUAGUCAAUCAGAUUUAUUCAAAGCCCGACUACCCCAAGCAUCACCCCAACACGGUCAAUGCCAAUUACUCCCUCACCAUGAACGCCAAGUACGAUGUGCUGCAGAUGGCCAUGGACCUGGGUCACGUAAACACCAAAUAUAUUGCUUGGCUGGACAAUGGUUCUUCAGAACCUUGUUACAAGAAACUUUCAGACCCAAAAAUGAUACUUUUACUCUAGAAGUUCCUUUCAACUUUGAUGAUAAAAAAGUUGCUUUCACUGAGGUUGGAGGUCGAGACUUUCACAAAAACUUAUCGCCAUGGGAUUAUAUCAAGAACAACCAUGUCUGGGUGGCUGGAGGUUAUGUACUUGCAGAACAAAAGGUCAUACGGAAAUUCAUCCACGCUUACAAAAGGUCCUACCAAGCUUUGUUAAAGGACAAUAUGGCCAGCACGGACCAGCAAGUGAUCGGUUCCAUGUACUCACCACAGAUGAUCAAAGAUCAGGAGAUAGAGAUUCAAACGUACAGAUGUUCAGAUGGCCAGUUCCAACUGCACGGUUCAGAUAUCCAAUAUUUCUGUCUAGCGUACGUCUGCAAAGAGGCGGCAGAAUUGAGAAAAGCUAACACGACUUUACAACUUGCAUGAGAAUCUGGUUGUCUGCUGUUAACAUAACCACUUACUUUUAGCCGUCUACUGUUCUAAAAAAAAAUUCUUUCCCUUUCAGGUCAAUCUUUCUUGUUAUUUAGUAAUAACAUCGUUAUAAUUAAAUCGGCCCACUGUUCAUCAUCAUAUGAUCACAUUGUGGUUGGUGCAUGGGCGUAGCCAGGGGGGGGGUUCUUGGGGUUCAACCCCCCCCCGAAAUGAAAUCCCCCCCUCAGGGGGGGGGGACGGAAUUAAGUGACUGAUUUUUGCUUUCAUUUUGUUUAUUUUAGGUGAGAUUUUAAUACUAAAUCAUCACUUACCACAGCACAGCCGAGGCAGUUUUGAGUUAAAAACCCUCUACCAGGGGGUUUUGAGAUACAAAUCCCUCUACCAGGGGGCUUUGAGUUUAAAACCCCCUACAGGGGGUUUUGAAUUUUCAACCCCCUACCAGAGGUUUGUGCAGUUAAAUCCCCCUCUUCUAUAAAACAAAAAAAAAAUGCAAACAACAAUCCCCAAAUUCCAACAGCACAGUUGAGGAAGAUUUUGAUUUUAAAACCCCCUCCAAAAUUUACGAUAAACCCGAUCUUCAAUAUAAAAAAAGCAAAUUACACACUCAAAAUUCUAUGAGCGUAGCCAAAAGGGUUUUGAGUUUAAACCCCCCCCCCCUCCAGUUGGGGUUUGAAGCUAAAAAGUACCUCUUCAAUAUAAAAAAAAAGCAAAUUACACACUAUAAAAUCUAUGAGCGUAGACAAAGGGGUUUUGAGUUUAAAUCCACCUCCUCCAGAUGGCUUUUUCUUUAAAGUUUAAAACCCCUCCAGAUGGUUUUGAGUUUAAAAUUCCCCUACAGAGCGUUUAGAGUUGAAAACCUCUCUCUUCAAUAUUAUUUUAAAGCAAACUACAGUCACCAAAUUCUAAGAUCGUAGCUAAAUGGGGUUUCGAAUUAAAAACAAAACAAAAAAACUCCAGAGAUUUCUUAGUUUAAAACCCCUCAACAGAUGAUUUGACGAAAAAACUUUCCUUUUCGAUAUAAAAUCUAAAGCGAAAUACAGGCAUGUAAUUACAAGAGCGUAGUCAAGAAAGGUUACAGAUUUCUACCAUUGGCUUGGGCUCCAUUAAUAAAGUGUGAAUAGUCUUCUGCCGAAAUUGAAAAUCAUUAAAUUUGUCUCAACAAAGAUGGCUAAGACAGAUUUUAGGAGUCAGUCAUAGAGAUCGGGUCUAUAUCAAAGAAAUCAUAUGCGGAACUGGGAGUCGAAUCCUUAGUAAGGUUGUGACAGAGCGUCGCAUGAGGUUUUGCGGGACAUGUUCUCACACAAAAUGAAUUACGCAAAAUAAGAGUUGCGGAAACAGCCUGCCGGAAAAUGCGCCGAACGGCGCGAGAGGGUCUAAGUCAGUAAGAAUAGCACAUUAGGUUUUUGAAAUAAAACUUUUUAAUAGCAAGAUAAUGCACUGUCGAUACCUCAGAAUAUGCAUUUUGUUGGCUUUCAAUACCAGAAAUACUGCUCGGCAGCGGGGCUUCGCCCCGCGCUGGGGGAGUGCUGCGAACUCCCCCAGACCCCCUUGCUA